GCUCAUGAUCUUAAUGCCAGCAUUAAGACAGACAGAAGCAGCAUGGUGCUAAAUGACAGGAAAAUCCAGUAUUUACAUUAGGAUGGUAACAGGAACAUUUAAGAGCAUUUGAUCUUAUUUACUGGUGGACUGAAAGCCCUUAGCUAGACAAUAGAGGAAAAUGUACCAUCAUCAUGUUAUUUAAAAAAAUUUAAGUGCAGAAGUAAAAAACCAAGGAGCUCUGUAAUAAAGUAACAUAAAACACCACUGUAAGGAUCACUUAAAAAGCGAUUCCCUCAGGGGAAAUUAGGGCACUGAGUGUGUAAACAUGUGAGCUGUACAACACCAAAACCAACCAAAUUCAUUCAUAGUACUUAUAGUUAUGCAAGAUCAGCAUGGCCUUUAAUGAUGCAUUAUUGUUUAUAACAAUUUAAACACACUCCUUACCAUGCAUGACUUCAAAUAUAUAACAAAUACUUUUAUUCGAUACAGGAUAUCUGUUUAUGAAAUAAGACCUAUAUACAAUGAAAGUAACACCUCCCUCAUCAAUCAAGUACAGUUACAUGCUUUUUAAAUGCAAUGACCUUAUUCAGACUUCAGUUCAUUUUCUGAAUUGACUGUGUCAGUUUUUCAUCCUUUAAAAUAAUGCCAUUUUAUGAUAAAAUACAUUUUUCAAAAAUUCAGAAAUGUAGUAACAUUUAAUAAAUGUGACCAUGAAAAAUAUUUGUACGGAGGUGCCAAAUGACUUAGCACUUUUUUCCAGUCUGUAUCUAAAAAAAAAGUUGCAAUUUGACAGUAAGCCUAUUUAAAAAAUAUUCUUACAUUAAUUCAUCUCAAAAGGUUCUAUUAAUAGUCCUUUUGCAAAAUACCAUAUAUAUAACUGUGAAUGUUUUUUCCAGAAUUAAUGAAAGAAAAUGUAUCCUCUGCACAGAUGAACAUUUUCUCUCUAAAACUAAUCUUUCAUCACCCAGCAUGUUUUUACAAAAGCAUGCAAUAUAAAAUGCACAUAAAAGCAGCUAUCUUAAACAUGAUUUUAAUACAAUAUUACCUUUGUAGCUGAUUCAUCACUGUCUCCAGUUUAAUAUGCUGUUACAUACAUGAAGAAGCUCCAGUAUCCCUUUUCUGAUUGACUUUUUAAAAAAAUCCCUGAAUAAAACAGAAGCCAGUCUGUGACUUCUUUAGGCAUUUCAGUAGAAGAUCAUCUAUGGAGAAUAUCUCCAACCAGACUCAUGAUUACAGAACAGAAGCUAAAACAAUCUGGGGCAGAGUACAGAGUUAAUACCAAUUUAAAACUUUUAUGUUUAAAAAGAAACAGCCUGUAAUCCUAGUACUCUGGGAGGCUGAGGCAGGAGGAUCGCUUGAUGCCAGGAGGAGUUCGAGACCAGCCUGGGCAACACUGUGAGACCCUGUCUCUAUUAAAAAAAAAAAAAAAAAAAAAAAAAAA
This 1423-nucleotide long non-coding RNA is filed under the name Pongo abelii (Sumatran orangutan). RNAcentral describes it as "lncRNA (ENSPPYG00000032979.1)". The record is from RNAcentral. Lineage: Eukaryota; Metazoa; Chordata; Mammalia; Primates; Hominidae.